AAAGAUCUAAAUAAGUUUUAUCAUUUUUGUUUCAAAAAGAUUUUUAAAGCUUGUUUAGUUGUAAAAUUCUAAUCGCUUUUAUUAAUAUCUAGUAACUUUAUAAAUAAAUUUAGUUUAGAAUGAUUAGGAAAAUUUUUAUUAAAAAUUUAUUCUUAUUUCAUUUUUAUAUCUUUGGGGAUGAGCUCAUAGAUACACAUAAAAGAAAUAUUAUUAUUUGUUUUAUUUGUAGGCUUAGAAUUAGCCAUUAAAAAUUGUUAUAAAAUAUAAUUUCAAAUUUUAGAUUUUUUUUUCUUUUAUUUAUAUAAAGUUAACUAUUUAAUUUUUUAUAUUUUGAAAAAAUGGUAAUAUUAGUAGAUAUAAAAAUUUAGAUAAUUUUUUAAAUUUAUCUAAAAAUUUUUUUUAAAAAAAAAUUUAACAAAAGAACUCGGCAAAAAAAAUUUCCGAAUGUUUAACAAAAACAUUUCCUCUUAGAACAAGAGGUAAAGCCUGCUCACUGAGGAUUUAAAGAGCCGCAGUAUCCUAACUGUGCUAAGGUAGCAUAAUCAUUAGUCUUUUAAUUGGAGACUGGUAUGAAUGGCUCAACGAGAAAUUGACUUUUUUUGUUAUAUAAAUUGAAUUUAAUUUUUUAGUGAAAAAGCUAAAAUAAUUCAGAAAGACGAGAAGACCCUAUAGAGUUUUAUGUAUUUUUUAUAAUUGUUUUUAUUAGAUUUUUUAAGAAUAAUUAUUUUUAAACAUUUUGUUGGGGCGACAUUUAGAUAUAAAAAACUCUUUAUUUUAAUAAUUUUUUUGAAAAUAUUAUUUGAUCCUUUAUAAAAGAUCAAAAGAAAAAAUUACCUUAGGGAUAACAGCGUAAUCUUUUUUGAGAGUUCUAAUCGACAAAAAGGUUUGCGACCU
Molecule: ribosomal RNA, 894 nt
Filed under: Darwiniella angularis
Lineage: Eukaryota; Metazoa; Arthropoda; Thecostraca; Balanomorpha; Pyrgomatidae
Description: partial 16S large subunit ribosomal RNA
Rfam family: Archaeal large subunit ribosomal RNA (bases 406-642)
Source: RNAcentral